GGCUCUUUGGAGACAUCCGAUAAAAUUGGAAUGAUACAUAGUAGAUUAGCAUGGCCCUGAGCAAGGACGACAGCCACAAAUCGAGAAAUAUACAUAAUUGAG
Molecule: small nuclear RNA, 102 nt
Filed under: Amborella trichopoda
Lineage: Eukaryota; Viridiplantae; Streptophyta; Magnoliopsida; Amborellales; Amborellaceae
Source: RNAcentral